AGAAGAUGAAAAAAGUUCGUGGUCUAUUCAGGAUUUUAAGCAAAGCUUUGCUACUGUACUUAGUGAUCCCACGGUUCGAGAAAAAAUAGAUCUGCUUAGCAGAGAUUGGGGUUCUUCCUUUACUUCUCCUACAAUUCCAUAUAUAAGUUAUCCCCAUAUUACUUUUAAGAGUUCUGUCUUUUCCCCAGCAUUCCUUUUGCAG
Zophobas morio is the source of this 202-nucleotide long non-coding RNA. RefSeq lists it as uncharacterized. The transcript is spliced from 3 exons. The record is from RefSeq and is a predicted model, not a curated record. NCBI's taxonomy places the organism in Eukaryota, Metazoa, Arthropoda, Insecta, Coleoptera, Tenebrionidae.